CGGAGCUCCGGCCGCCUCCCGAACAAAGGGACCCGGCGCUCUUUGUGUCGCGGGAGCGCCUCGGGUGCGGGCGUGCGGCACGGCCGCGACCACCGCCGGGCUGCCGGCUGAAUGAGAGCGCGGGGCCCGCUCUUAUUUCUCCCCGCCGUUGUGCGGAUGGGAGACCUUUGCGCUACGCCCUGAGCGCUUGCGUAGCGAGUCUGACGGCUGUGCCGAAGCGAUCGGACGUGAAAACGGGCGCCUUAACGCACCUCCACAGCUGAUCUCGGGGAGAGCCUUGCGUAUAACGAGGUGCUGUUGUCAUUCGUGCGCAAACACCGCACGCUGGCUUCUCCUGGGUGAUACUGGGGGCUGCAGGGAAAGCACAGCGCUGAGCAGGUGGCUCCAGCGCGGCCAUAGAGGCACCCGUGCAUCCAGCAGUCUGGGUGCGGAGAGGUGGCUCUCGCCCUCCGUUACAGGGGGCCACGCUCCCCAGGCAGCCAAAGGAGCAGCAAGGCAAAAGGCCAACUACAGCAAAGACCCGAGCCCUGCUUACAGGGAGGUCGCCCAGCACAAAGCCCACCAGGACGCCAAAGGCGCCGGCAGCGCUCAACUCAAAUGCGACUGCGGCCCCGCUAACAGGACAGCAGCUCCUGAAACAUCAGCGGGGACACCAUUAGACCCGCGCAGUGGCAAGCCCCCCACCUGAAGGAAAAGGCAAACGCAGCAUUGCAAAGGAACUCGGCACGCAAACACCCAGCCAAGAAAGGCCUCGCAUCCCUGUGUUCCCUCCAUCCCCCCCUCCCCCCCCCCCCGCCUCCCAGCUUCAUCCCAGCAAAAACUACUUCAAGCAGCUUUUCUCACCUCACUGAUGCGCGGCGGACUUCCAGCCGGUGCUGCGGGGGAUCACAGAGGCGGGCAGACUGGGCAAAUGGGGCUGGGCACACAAAAAGCAGCAGCCAAAGAGUCAGCUUCCCUGCUUACAGGGGACCCCCGGCCACUGCCGCCAUUGAAAAGGGCCUGGGACUCCGGGACACAGAUGCUCCCUGACUUACAGGGCAGCCCCCAUCCCUACGGCCGAGGGAGGCUCCUUCUCUCCCAGUCCGGGGCACCUCGACCCACACCCCGCUAGCGGGGCGGUCACCCCACACAGGCUGCCAGCAGAGCACAAACGCUCACGCACCCAGACCCUGAUUACAGGCGGGUGGACAACACCCCUGGAGCCACAGAGCUCGGUUUCCCCCCCAGCGGCAGGAGCAACUCUCAGCAGCCAGGCAGCGGGGCGGCACGGCCAAAGGCCGCAGUCGGGAUCCCAGCCCCGAUUCCAGGGAGGGCGCAAGCCCCACCCCGCGUCUCACGGCCCCGCGCCUCUGAAAGGCCGGGGCCACAUUCCCACCUGAGUACAGGGGGUCUCUCAGAACGCAGCUCACCAAGCACACACGGGGGGCACACACAGCCCUGCCUACAGGACGGUACUCCCACACCUCACCCUCUUCAAGAAGCCCCGCGGAGCACGAGGCUCCCGCCAACGCCUGAGCUACAGGCUGGCCCGCCCGGCAGCAGCAGAACAUCACCAACGCCUCGUCUUUGGAAGCCCAGGGAGCUACCUCGACCCACCGAGCGGGGAGGUCACCCCACACACAAACAGCACCUCAACCUGCACCCUCUGACGGGACAGGGAGGGGUCACUCCCACCAGCUGGAUGGCUAAAGCAGCCGGCUGCAACGCUGCAGCCUCCCCACACCUGAUUACAGGGCGGGCGGGCUGCUCAGGGACAGAGGGCUCCAAAGCUUGGGACACGCACCCCGAGUACGGGGCCGUCGCGUUGACAAGCCACCAUCAGGCAACGAUGCCGAGGGGCCGGGGGAGGAAGAGGGGCAGGGAAACGGCACUACCCUGCUUACAGGGUGGCCUCGGGGUCCGGCGAGCUCCAUUUCCCACUCAGGUGCGGAGAGGUGGCUCUCGCCCUCCGUUACAGGGGGCCACGCUCCCCAGGCAGCCAAAGGAGCAGCAAGGCAAAAGGCCAACUACAGCAAAGACCCGAGCCCCGCUUACGGGGAGGUCGCCCAGCACAACGCCAGCCUGGUCACCAAAGGCGCCGGCAGCUCUCAACUCAAACGUGACUGUGCCCCCGCUAACGGGACAGGUGCUUUGCCCAGGGAGCCUCUCUCCUUCCCCCCCGCAUCUGCACGCUUCCGCUUCCUCUUCUUGCUUGCUCCUGCCUCCCAGCUCCCCACGCCGCUUCUUCUUCUUCCUUCUGCAGUAGCUCCU
Molecule: long non-coding RNA, 2250 nt
Filed under: Gallus gallus (chicken)
Lineage: Eukaryota; Metazoa; Chordata; Aves; Galliformes; Phasianidae
Description: lncRNA (ENSGALG00010023596.1)
Source: RNAcentral